This 253-nucleotide ribosomal RNA is filed under the name uncultured bacterium. RNAcentral's name for it is "partial 16S ribosomal RNA". It matches the Rfam family "Bacterial small subunit ribosomal RNA", at positions 524 to 776 of the family's 1533-position model. The record is from RNAcentral.
UACGGGGGGGGCAAGCGUUGUUCGGAAUUACUGGGCGUAAAGGGCUCGUAGGUGGCCAACUAAGUCAGACGUGAAAUCCCUCAGCUUAACUGGGGAACUGCGUCUGAUACUGGAUGGCUUGAGUUUGGGAGAGGGAUGCGGAAUUCCAGGUGUAGCGGUGAAAUGCGUAGAUAUCUGGAGGAACACCGGUGGCGAAGGCGGAUCUCUGGGCCAUUACUGACGCUGAGGAGCGAAAGCCAGGGGAGCAAACGGG